RNAcentral lists this ribosomal RNA (459 nucleotides) under uncultured bacterium. RNAcentral describes it as "partial 16S ribosomal RNA". It matches the Rfam family "Bacterial small subunit ribosomal RNA", at positions 338 to 795 of the family's 1533-position model. The record is from RNAcentral.
CCUACGGGAGGCUGCAGUGAGGAAUAUUGGUCAAUGGCCGGGAGGCUGAACCAGCCAAGUCGCGUGAGGGAAGACGGCCCUACGGGUUGUACACCUCUUUUGUCAGGGAGCAAGGUGCAGGUCGGGACCUGCUGUGAGAGUACCUGAAGAAAAAGCAUCGGCCAACUCCGUGCCAGCAGCCGCGGUAAUACGGAGGAUGCGAGCGUUAUCCGGAGGUAUUGGGUAUAAAGGGUGCGCAGGCGGAGGCACAAGUCAGCGGGAAAAUCGCGGGGCUCAACCCCGCUCCGCCGUUGAAACUGUGUCCCUUGAGUGCGCGAAGGGUAGGCGGAAUGCGUGGUGUAGCGGUGAAAUGCAUAGAUAUCACGCAGAACUCCGAUCGCGAAGGCAGCCUACCGGCGCGCAACUGACGCUCAUGCACAAAAGCGUGGGUAUCGAACAGGAUUAGAUACCCCUGUAGUC